RNAcentral lists this unclassified non-coding RNA (520 nucleotides) under uncultured Entrophospora. RNAcentral describes it as "SSU rRNA". It matches the Rfam family "Eukaryotic small subunit ribosomal RNA", at positions 569 to 1084 of the family's 1831-position model. Lineage: Eukaryota; Fungi; Glomeromycota; Glomeromycetes; Entrophosporales; Entrophosporaceae. The record is from RNAcentral.
AGCAGCCGCGGUAAUUCCAGCUCCAAUAGCGUAUAUUAAAGUUGUUGCAGUUAAAAAGCUCGUAGUUGAAUUUCGGGAUUGGCGCAUCGGUCGUGCCUCACGGGGUAUGAACUGGUGCAGUCAAUUUCUCACCUUCUGGAGAACCGCGAUGUCCUUAAUUGGGAUGCCGCGGGGAACCAGGACCUUUACUUUGAAAAAUUAGAGUGUUUAAAGCAGGCAUUUUUGCUUGAAUACAUUAGCAUGGAAUAAUAAAAUAGGACGGCAUGGUUCUAUUUUGUUGGUUUCUAGGACCACCGUAAUGAUUAAUAGGGAUAGUUGGGGGCAUUAGUAUUCAAUUGUCAGAGGUGAAAUUCUUGGAUUUAUUGAAGACUAACUACUGCGAAAGCAUUUGCCAAGGAUGUUUUCAUUAAUCAAGAACGAAAGUUAGGGGAUCGAAGACGAUCAGAUACCGUCGUAGUCUUAACCAUAAACUAUGCCGACUAGGAAUCAGACGAUGUUAAUUUUUAAUGACUCGUUUGGC